This 503-nucleotide ribosomal RNA is filed under the name uncultured bacterium. RNAcentral's name for it is "bacterial SSU rRNA". It matches the Rfam family "Bacterial small subunit ribosomal RNA", at positions 38 to 507 of the family's 1533-position model. The record is from RNAcentral.
GGCGGCGUGCCUAAUACAUGCAAGUCGAGCGCAGGAAACAAGUAGAUCCCUUCGGGGUGACGCUUGUGGAAUGAGCGGCGGACGGGUGAGUAACACGUGGGCAACCUACCUUGUAGACUGGGAUAACUCCGGGAAACCGGAGCUAAUACGGGAUGAUCAUUUGAAUCGCAUGAUUGAAAUGUAAAAGUGGGGAGUAAUCCUCACACUAUGAGAUGGGCCCGCGGCGCAUUAGCUAGUUGGUAAGGUAAUGGCUUACCAAGGCAACGAUGCGUAGCCGACCUGAGAGGGUGAUCGGCCACACUGGAACUGAGACACGGUCCAGACUCCUACGGGAGGCAGCAGUAGGGAAUCAUCCGCAAUGGGCGAAAGCCUGACGGUGCAACGCCGCGUGAACGAUGAAGGUUUUCGGAUCGUAAAGUUCUGUUAUGAGGGAAGAACAAGUGCCAUUCGAAUAGGGCGGCACCUUGACGGUACCUCACGAGAAAGCCCCGGCUAACUACGUG